Long non-coding RNA from Dermacentor andersoni, 205 nucleotides. RefSeq lists it as uncharacterized. The record is from RefSeq and is a predicted model, not a curated record. Lineage: Eukaryota; Metazoa; Arthropoda; Arachnida; Ixodida; Ixodidae.
GCACAACAAAUCGUGAAAGCAAGUCUGUGCUGCCUCAUCGUAGUGCUCCUCGUAACGUUCGUGGCUGCCCUGAUAUUCAGUUUCACGAGGUCUGGAGUCCCAGAUGACGACGAAACCCUCGGCCCUCCAAACGAGAUCCACACGCGAAGGCACACUGUUGCUCUCCCGCCUACGACCAAGUUCACACUGUCUUCAUCGCCAGUGA